CGGGUGAGUAACGCGUAAGCAACCUGCCCUCUAGAUGGGGACAACAGCUGGAAACGGCUGCUAAUACCGAAUACGUUCUUUCUGUCGCAUGGCAGAAGGAAGAAAGGGAGGCUCUUCGGAGCUUUCGCUGGAGGAGGGGCUUGCGUCUGAUUAGCUAGUUGGAGGGGUAACGGCCCACCAAGGCGACGAUCAGUAGCCGGUCUGAGAGGAUGAACGGCCACAUUGGGACUGAGACACGGCCCAGACUCCUACGGGAGGCAGCAGUGGGGAAUCUUCCGCAAUGGACGAAAGUCUGACGGAGCAA
This 304-nucleotide ribosomal RNA is filed under the name uncultured bacterium. Its description in RNAcentral is "bacterial SSU rRNA". It matches the Rfam family "Bacterial small subunit ribosomal RNA", at positions 103 to 394 of the family's 1533-position model. The record is from RNAcentral.